GCAAGUCGAACGCUUCUUUCCUCCCGAGUGCUUGCACUCAAUUGGAAAGAGGAGUGGCGGACGGGUGAGUAACACGUGGGUAACCUACCCAUCAGAGGGGGAUAACACUUGGAAACAGGUGCUAAUACCGCAUAACAGUUUAUGCCGCAUGGCAUAAGAGUGAAAGGCGCUUUCGGGUGUCGCUGAUGGAUGGACCCGCGGUGCAUUAGCUAGUUGGUGAGGUAACGGCUCACCAAGGCCACGAUGCAUAGCCGACCUGAGAGGGUGAUCGGCCACACUGGGACUGAGACACGGCCCAGACUCCUACGGGAGGCAGCAGUAGGGAAUCUUCGGCAAUGGACGAAAGUCUGACCGAGCAACGCCGCGUGAGUGAAGAAGGUUUUCGGAUCGUAAAACUCUGUUGUUAGAGAAGAACAAGGACGUUAGUAACUGAACGUCCCCUGACGGUAUCUAACCAGAAAGCCACGGCUAACUACGUGCCAGCAGCCGCGGUAAUACGUAGGUGGCAAGCGUUGUCCGGAUUUAUUGGGCGUAAAGCGAGCGCAGGCGGUUUCUUAAGUCUGAUGUGAAAGCCCCCGGCUCAACCGGGGAGGGUCAUUGGAAACUGGGAGACUUGAGUGCAGAAGAGGAGAGUGGAAUUCCAUGUGUAGCGGUGAAAUGCGUAGAUAUAUGGAGGAACACCAGUGGCGAAGGCGGCUCUCUGGUCUGUAACUGACGCUGAGGCUCGAAAGCGUGGGGAGCAAACAGGAUUAGAUAC
RNAcentral lists this ribosomal RNA (757 nucleotides) under Enterococcus faecalis. Its description in RNAcentral is "bacterial SSU rRNA". It matches the Rfam family "Bacterial small subunit ribosomal RNA", at positions 57 to 785 of the family's 1533-position model. The record is from RNAcentral. Lineage: Bacteria; Bacillati; Bacillota; Bacilli; Lactobacillales; Enterococcaceae.